This 43-nucleotide ribosomal RNA is filed under the name Fusarium graminearum. Its description in RNAcentral is "partial 28S ribosomal RNA". Lineage: Eukaryota; Fungi; Ascomycota; Sordariomycetes; Hypocreales; Nectriaceae. The record is from RNAcentral. RNAcentral also lists the same sequence under 3 other names.
UGUUGACCUCGGAUCAGGUAGGAAUACCCGCUGAACUUAAGCA